UGGACAAGAAGGCGUCUGGGAUUGAUGGA
RNAcentral lists this non-coding RNA (29 nucleotides) under Rattus norvegicus (Norway rat). Lineage: Eukaryota; Metazoa; Chordata; Mammalia; Rodentia; Muridae. The record is from RNAcentral.